AGUGAACGCUGGCGGUAGGCCUAACACAUGCAAGUCGAACGGCAGCACAGUAAGAGCUUGCUCUUACGGGUGGCGAGUGGCGGACGGGUGAGGAAUACAUCGGAAUCUACUUUUUCGUGGGGGAUAACGUAGGGAAACUUACGCUAAUACCGCAUACGACCUACGGGUGAAAGCAGGGGAUCUUCGGACCUUGCGCGAUUGAAUGAGCCGAUGUCGGAUUAGCUAGUUGGCGGGGUAAAGGCCCACCAAGGCGACGAUCCGUAGCUGGUCUGAGAGGAUGAUCAGCCACACUGGAACUAAGACACGGUCCAGACUCCUACGGGAGGCAGCAGUGGGGAAUAUUGGACAAUGGGCGCAAGCCUGAUCCAGCCAUACCGCGUGGGUGAAGAAGGCCUUCGGGCUGUAAAGCCCUUUUGUUGGGAAAGAAAAGCAGCAGGUUAAUACCCCGCUGUUCUGACGGUACCCAAAGAAUAAGCACCGGCUAACUUCGUG
Molecule: ribosomal RNA, 492 nt
Filed under: uncultured bacterium
Lineage: Bacteria
Description: partial 16S ribosomal RNA
Rfam family: Bacterial small subunit ribosomal RNA
Source: RNAcentral